UCAAGAUGGCUGCUUGACUGAAGAUGCAUGAGGAAGCGAAUUUUCUAACUUUUCUGAUUAGAGUUUUUCUACUGAUUUUUAACAAUGCCUUUGAUAAAACUUAAACACAUUUNUUCAUUUAGCAGUGAGGAUACGGCUCAGCCGAGCUCGAACUUACUCAAACCAGAGACUUAUAGAAAAUGGAGGUGUGCAGAACCUGGAGAAAAACAAGCUGUAGUUGUCAUAGAGUUAGAGAAGGCAACAAAGAUACAUUCUAUCGACGUAGGAAACAAUGGCUCAGCUCUGAUUGAAGUGUUAGUAGGAAGAUCUUCAGAUGCAAGUGAUGCAUUCAAGGUUCUCCUCGUAACCUCAUCAUUUAUGAGUCCUGCUGACAGCAAGUCAUUCACAAACACCAACAGGGUCAGAAUGUUUGGUCCUGAGAAGUUGUCCAAACCAGUUGCAAAUGAGAAGUGGGAUAAAGUGAAAAUAGUCUGUACUCAGCCCUUUAACAAAAAUGAAAAGUAUGGCCUGUCAUUUAUUUCUCUUCAUUCUCCGCCAGAAGAUUCGCCAGGAAGGGGAUCUGAUAAACAAACACCAAAGAGGCUUGGAAGUUUUACUUUACGUGAUGAAGAGGAAGAUGACAUUAAGCCAGGAAGUUUAUUCUUUCANAAGAAAAAGAACAGCCCUCCAAUUUCAUCAACUGCAGCCCAAGUCAGAGAUGCUAAUGUAUCAUCAUCUAGCAUUUCCUCCUCUUCUAAAACAUCAGAAGUUGGUGGAAUGUUCAANAGCCGNCAACCUGUGGCCAGUAAACCUAGAGAUGAAAGAGAAAGAAAACCUCAAUCAAAACCUGUUAAACAGGAAUUGAAAACUGUCAAACAGGAUAAANCUGUGUCAUCUANAACUCAGUCUCUUGGUGUUGACGAAUCAAGUAAGAGAAAACAUGCUGAUGGCAAGGAAAAACCUACUAAGGUGUCUCCACCUUCCAAGAAAGCAAAAAAGAGCAACCAUUCUACAGAGGAUGUCCCAUUUCAUCAUAUAAUGAAGAAUGUGGUGUUUGUGCUAAGUGGGUUUAAGAACCCUGAACGUGGUGAAAUUAGAGACAAAGCCCUUGAAAUGGGAGCCCAAUAUAAACCUGAUUGGAUGGCNGGAUGCACACAUCUAAUCUGUGCAUUUUCCAACACUCCCAAGUACUAUCAAGUCAAAGGAAAAGGAAAGAUUGUGACCAAAAAAUGGAUAUNAGACAGCCACAGGAAAAAGAGAAAACUGCCAACUAGAAAUUAUCAUCUUCCUGGUGAUACAAGCUCAUCAGAGGAAGGCAGCAGCGAUGAUGAACCACCAAGCANACGACCAUUGGCUAGUAGACAUUCUACUGACACCUNUGAAGAUAUUAAGAAAAAGNAUUCAGAAGAUAAGGAAGAAAGACCUGUAGAUGUAAAUACUGGUGUCAAAAAUAGUUCAGAAACAUCAAAAGUANAGAACGAUGANGACAGUGAUGACACUGUUGAUGAAAUUCCACAAGAAAAAGAAAAAGUUGAAAAGGAGCCAGAAAGUGAUCAGGACACAGAAGAUGAGCUUGAANGGAUGCAAGAGGAGAAAGAUGAUGAUGAUGAUGAUGAUAUUUAUAAUCUUUCUACUGAAGAUGAAGAAAAUGAAGAAGAUGACAAAAAAGAUGAAGAACAAGAUGACAGCUCUGGUCCUGAUGAGUUUCCUGAGCUCCCUGAUUUCUUCUCAAAGAAACAUUUCCUAUUGUAUGGAGAAAUGGACCAAUCCACACGUAGAACACUCAUUCGCUACAUUACAGCCUAUGAUGGGUAGGUACCAUACCUAUUGUAUGGAGAAAUGGACCAAUCCACACGUAGAACACUCAUUCGCUACAUUACAGCCUAUGAUGGUACUUUGGAAGACUACAUNACAGAGUCUGUAGACUUUGUGAUUACAAAUGAAACUUGGGAUCAAAACUUUGAAGAUGCUCUGAGUGAAAAUGCUUCACUGGCUUUUAUCAAGCCCACGUGGAU
RNAcentral lists this unclassified non-coding RNA (1994 nucleotides) under Exaiptasia diaphana. RNAcentral's name for it is "dNA repair protein XRCC1, transcript variant X2". Lineage: Eukaryota; Metazoa; Cnidaria; Anthozoa; Actiniaria; Aiptasiidae. The record is from RNAcentral.